This is an RNA transcript of Micropterus dolomieu (smallmouth bass), 3620 nucleotides long. It is a transcript of the gene named TAR DNA binding protein b, with no coding region annotated. The record is from RefSeq and is a predicted model, not a curated record. NCBI's taxonomy places the organism in Eukaryota, Metazoa, Chordata, Actinopteri, Centrarchiformes, Centrarchidae. The transcript is spliced from 6 exons.
GAUGAUGCCAUUUUGGUAGGCCUCGGUAGGGUCUUUCUUUUUGCGCCUCGUGGAAAAAACAUUAUAUGCCGAAUUUCUUACUUUGCGGUUGGGGCAAUACGUGCGCCUUGGUGAAGUUGGAUAACCUAAUCGGCCUGCACAAGCCAUUUUGAGGAACUUGAUUUGUCGGAUUAGUUAGCGGGGGACUAUACGCAGUUUUCAUUAAGCGGCACAGUUGAACGGUCGUUGUCCAGUGUUGACGACGCAGAUAUCUACAAACAAAGGAACAGGAAGGUCGAGGCACGCUCGGUUGCGUACGAAAUAUUCUUUAUGAUAUGAUUUAAAAUUAAACCCACCCCAACACAUUUUUUUGUUGCAGUUUUUUGACUUGAAGUCUUUUCUCAAACACAACUAGCCUGACUCAUUCAGUCCCGUUAGCAACAUCGGCUAGGGAUAGCCGUAAUUGUGGACAGCUAGCGAGCUAACUGCUAACUUUAGCAUUACAGAAGCAGGAGAGUUUUCUUUUUUGUGGAAGAUGGCUGAAGUAUACAUUCGAGUGGCAGAGGAGGAAAACGAGGAACCCAUGGAGAUCCCGUCCGAAGACGAUGGCACUGUUCUGCUUUCCACCGUGGCAGCUCAGUUUCCUGGGGCGUGUGGCCUACGGUUCAGGAGCCCCGUGUCUCAGUGCAUGCGAGGAGUGCGUCUUGUGGAGGGGGUCCUGCACGCACCAGAAACUGGGUGGGGAAAUAUCGUGUAUGUGGUGAACUAUCCAAAAGACAACAAAAGGAAAAUGGAGGAAAUUGAUGCGUCGUCUGCGGUGAAAAUGAAGCGAGGAGACAUGAAGACAUCUGACCUGAUCGUACUGGGUCUUCCGUGGAAAACAACAGAGCAGGACCUGAAAGAUUACUUUAGCACAUUUGGAGAAGUCAUCAUGGUUCAGGUAAAACGAGAUGCCAAGACGGGAAACUCUAAAGGAUUUGGCUUUGUGAGAUUCACAGAGUAUGAGGCUCAAGAAAAGGUGAUCUCCCAGCGGCAUAUGAUUGACGGGAGAUGGUGUGACUGCAAGCUCCCUAAUUCGAAGGUGAAUAUGCAAGGUCCAGAUGAGCCAUUGAGGAGCAGAAAAGUGUUUGUAGGCCGUUGCACAGAAGACAUGACCACAGAUGACCUACGGCAGUUCUUCAUGCAGUAUGGCGAAGUCACAGAUGUCUUCAUCCCCAAGCCAUUCCGUGCUUUUGCCUUUGUCACAUUCGCAGAUGACCAGGUUGCCCAGUCUCUCUGUGGAGAGGAUCUAAUAAUCAAAGGCAUCAGUGUUCACAUCUCAAAUGCUGAGCCCAAACAUGGCAAUAGGCAGUUUGAUCGCACCACACGGUUUGGGAAUGGCUUUGGAGCUCAAGCAUUUGGUAGCAGCCGUAGUGGGUUAGGGAGCAGCACUAACAGCAGUCUGGCGAAUUUUGGUUCCUUCAGUCUGAACCCUGCUAUGAUGGCUGCUGCUCAGGCUGCUCUGCAGAGUAGUUGGGGAAUGAUGGGCAUGCUGGCUAGCCAGCAGCAGACAUCCACUUCAGGAAGUACUUCCAGCGGAACAAGCUCUAGUAGGGACCAGAGUCAGUCUUUCAGUACAGGCAACAGCAACUACGGCACCAGCUCAGCCAGUCUUGGCUGGGGAACAGGGUCAAACUCUACAACAAGUGGUAGUGGGUUUAGCUCAGGUUUUGGGUCCAGUAUGGAGUCAAAGUCAUCUGGGUGGGGUAUGUAAGUUAAAUGUUUGUAUGGUAAGUAUUGUGACAAAGAUGAGUCUUUUCAAAAUUUAUUUCUGGUGUUGAUGCGUAUCAGAAGAUUUAACACUUUUGUGGAAGAUGUUUUGUACAUUUGGAAAACAAGCUAAAGAUUUAAUUUAGAAAGUGUUGAAGUGAGUUGUUUACCAGGAUGUCUGACUAAAGUGCUAUUUUUGAUGUCUCAUUUGUUUGUAUCCAUUUCAACUGGAUUCUCUAAUGCAUGUAUUGUGAAAUGUGAUAUAACCAUUUUGAAAAAAAUGCAUGAAUGUUUGUGGUUCACCAUUAUCCGGCUUUGUCAUCGACCUAAAAAGGCAAUCUUGCAUUGGGAAGAAUCUGGUUGAAACCUAAAUGUUUUAAGUGCAACUUUAUUUGCAGUCAAGUUCUGUGGAAAAGCCUUCAUUGAAAUCUCUUCUGCAGUUCACCUCUCUUCCAUUUUCCUGUGAGGAAGCUCCUAUUUGGCAGCAUUCUUGGGGUGAUAUCGGUAUCAUUCUCCCUCUUCCCACCUGUAAAUGCUAUGCCAUCACAGAACGGCUUCACUCCGCAUGUUCUAAGAGACGGGACCUUGGGCUCUGCUGGUCGAGGUCUCCGUUUGAACCCUGACUGAAGUGUGUUCUGAAGGACGAAGACGGAAGUACCAACACUUUCAGUGUGUGGCCUUCUCAGACAUGACAUGGGGUAGUACCUGUCUUUUUGCUGCUUUUGAUGGCUUGUCAGAGUGAAUUAUCCCUUUGAGUAUUCACAGCUACUUUUAAGGUUAGAGGGACGUAUUUAGUGGGUCAUACUUUAACCAUGAACAGAUAAGCAAUGUGGUAAAACAAACAAUAUUUAUUGGCCCUAAUUUGGCUAAUGUAAUGACAACAAAUGACACAUUGCUGAGGGGAUUUUUUUUUUUACGUGGCCUUACACUCAGUGGCCACUUCGUUAGGUACACUUGUACAAUGUAUUGCAAUUCAAUAGCACAAAGCCAUAAAUUAAGUUUAUCAUUGGUUGUAAGAGAUGUGUAGAUUCCAUUGUAUUUUAAUACUGCAGUCAUAGGUGGUCUACUGAACUAGGGUAUAAAGUAAUGUUAGUCUUAUUUACAUACGAGUGGGAGCAGAAGAAUAAACACUGGAAAAUGCACUUUAGUAUAACACCACCGCUACCUAUGGCCUUCAUGCUGAAACAUCUUUAUUUUUUUUAUAGGUAUCAUUUAAGUACAGUUAAAUUCAGAUGUAUUGGAUUGCGUUAGAUUGUACAGGGGUACUUAAUAAAGUGGUAAUUGAGUGUAUGUUAUGGGUAGUUUGCCUGACAGUCUUAACAGUACAUUUGAGGUUCUUCUAAGUGUAAACACAUUUUUGGAUAAUCUUAAUAUUUUGAAACAUAGCAGGUAUGUAAUUUAGCAGUCUAAACUGCUCAAAUAGGAUUUCUCAGUCAGCUUCAGAGUUUUUGUAGUCAGUGUCACUUUUGACAGUGCUUUAAAAAAAACCCAAAAAACAUUACAAUCACUUCAUUCAUGAUCAUGUUUGUUGUAUGGCAAACCAGUGCCAAAUGCACUAUACUUUGACAUUUCCUCAGCAGGUCCCAGGAUAGAAGUAGUUAGGCUGAAACUACUGUAUGCUGUAGAAUUCUUUAAAGUUGAAAUGCAUAAUUCCAUUAACAAAAUGGCAACGACACCUUGUAUUAGUCAGCUUUAAUGUUUAUUUGAAUGUUGGGCACAAGUGAGACACUGCAGGUCUGCCUGUGUCUUGUCCUUAUUCUCUGCUUUCCUCCUCAGUCUCUCUGCUUUUCCUCUUCCCAGUAUUUUUCUUUUUCAAAUCCCUCUGCUCCUGGUUCAGUUCUUCACUUUUAUUUUGUAUGUAGAUGGACUGAAAUAAAGGCAAAUUAAACAUG